AUUGAACGCUGGCGGCAUGCCUUACACAUGCAAGUCGAACGGCAGCACGGGAGCAAUCCUGGUGGCGAGCGGCGAACGGGUGAGUAAUAUAUCGGAACGUGCCCAGUCGUGGGGGAUAACGCAGCGGAAGCUGUGCUAAUACCGCAUACGAUCUAAGGAUGAAAGCGGGGGAUCGCAAGACCUCGCGCGAUUGGAGCGGCCGAUAUCAGAUUAGCUAGUUGGGGGGGUAAAGGCCCACCAAGGCGACGAUCUGUAGCUGGUCUGAGAGGACGACCAGCCACACUGGAACGGAGACACGGUCCAGACUCCUACGGGAGGCAGCAGUGGGGAAUUUUGGACAAUGGGCGCAAGCCUGAUCCAGCAAUGCCGCGUGCAGGAUGAAGGCCUUCGGGUUGUAAACUGCUUUUGUACGGAACGAAACGGCCCUUUCUAAUACAGGGGGCUAAUGACGGUACCGUAAGAAUAAGCACCGGCUAACUACGUGCCAGCCGCCGCGGUAA
Molecule: ribosomal RNA, 500 nt
Filed under: uncultured bacterium
Lineage: Bacteria
Description: partial 16S ribosomal RNA
Rfam family: Bacterial small subunit ribosomal RNA
Source: RNAcentral